This 500-nucleotide ribosomal RNA is filed under the name Mycobacterium sp. LIV-1499. RNAcentral's name for it is "bacterial SSU rRNA". It matches the Rfam family "Bacterial small subunit ribosomal RNA", at positions 9 to 510 of the family's 1533-position model. Lineage: Bacteria; Bacillati; Actinomycetota; Actinomycetes; Mycobacteriales; Mycobacteriaceae. The record is from RNAcentral.
GAGUUUGAUCCUGGCUCAGGACGAACGCUGGCGGCGUGCUUAACACAUGCAAGUCGAACGGAAAGGCCCCUUCGGGGGUACUCGAGUGGCGAACGGGUGAGUAACACGUGGGUGAUCUGCCCUGCACUUUGGGAUAAGCCUGGGAAACUGGGUCUAAUACCGAAUAGGACCGCAUGCUUCAUGGUGUGUGGUGGAAAGCUUUUGCGGUGUGGGAUGGGCCCGCGGCCUAUCAGCUUGUUGGUGGGGUAAUGGCCUACCAAGGCGACGACGGGUAGCCGGCCUGAGAGGGUGUCCGGCCACACUGGGACUGAGAUACGGCCCAGACUCCUACGGGAGGCAGCAGUGGGGAAUAUUGCACAAUGGGCGCAAGCCUGAUGCAGCGACGCCGCGUGGGGGAUGACGGCCUUCGGGUUGUAAACCUCUUUCAGUAUCGGCGAAGCUCCAGGAUUUUUCUUGGGGUGACGGUAGGUACAGAAGAAGCACCGGCCAACUACGUGCCA